AUACGUAGGGCGCGAGCGUUGUCCGGAAUUACUGGGCGUAAAGGGCGCGUAGGCGGCGCUUCAAGUCGUCUGUCAAAUGGGAGGGCUUAACCCUUUUUCGCAGACGAAACUGGAGAGCUUGAGAAGCAGAGAGGCAAACAGAAUUCCUGGUGUAGCGGUGAAAUGCGUAGAUAUCAGGAAGAAUACCAGUGGCGAAGGCGGUUUGCUGGCUGCAUACUGACGCUGAAGGGCGAAAGCCAGGGGAGCAAACGGGAGUAGAUACCCCGGUAGUCCUGGCAGUAAACGAUGUAUGCUGGGUGUGAGACUAGCGAUAGUUUCUUGCCGAAGUUAACGCGAUAAGCAUACCGCCUGGGGAGUACGGGCGCAAGAUUGAAACUCAAAUGAAUUGGCGGGG
RNAcentral lists this ribosomal RNA (394 nucleotides) under uncultured bacterium. Its description in RNAcentral is "partial 16S ribosomal RNA". It matches the Rfam family "Bacterial small subunit ribosomal RNA", at positions 523 to 918 of the family's 1533-position model. The record is from RNAcentral.